Long non-coding RNA from Hyla sarda, 570 nucleotides. RefSeq lists it as uncharacterized. Lineage: Eukaryota; Metazoa; Chordata; Amphibia; Anura; Hylidae. The transcript has 4 exons. The record is from RefSeq and is a predicted model, not a curated record.
UUCCUCUGCACAGGUUUUGAUAAAUCUCCCCCAUUGUUUUUCUCAACUAUCAUUUAUACAGGUUAAUGCAAGGACAGAUAAUAUGGUGUAGAAUUCAGUAUAGACCAACUACAGUAUACAUCACAGUGAUGUCUAGUGGUACGCCCCCUGCAUCUGAGAGCUUUGGCUCUCGCUCCCCGCACCUCCAGCUAUUGACUUGCCGUCUGCUGUAUGAACACUUGGAAUAAAGCAUCGUUUGGCAAAUACUUCUCAGUGGGGUGAACUUCUGAGGAGAGAGAAAGAGAAAAGCACUGAAUUAAGGGGACUAUGUUCAAUGACUUCAUUAGACCGGUGAAAGAAUCUGUAAAGGCUGCUGUACAAAGACUGCCUGAGGUUCUCCUCUUGCUGUCUUCCAGUUCGUUGUUGAUCUCCCAACCAUUGAAACAUGCAACGUUGAACAGUGCUGCUAACUCGUCCAAUGCACAUUGCGAUCUACUGAUGUGAUAAACCAAGAUCUCUUAACUCAAGGAUUCUGGAACUCCUAGAUUGUGACAAGUUGUGAUAACCGGCAAGUCAACGAACAGAGGACAU